AGAAAAAAAAAAUUCCCAACUUCUGGUAGCACCAAGGAGAGAAGGAAUAAGGGAAGUACAAGCUCGGGAAAAGGCUGCACACUUCUACUGGUGAAGACUAUGUCUCUUGCCCUGACAAAGCAGCAGAGGGAGCUCAGGCAGUUCAAACGUAUCCUGGAAGAAAUGGAACAGACGUCUGGCCACUGUAUCACGGUUUGCUACCACACAGCUGUUCUCCAGUUGUAUUGCGAGAUGCAGCCAGACCAACUACUCGGCUCUGUUACUAGUUUUCAAACGAUCUUCUCGGCUGGCAGGCAUCUGUACUAUGUGAAGCUGAGAAACUGCAGCAUUUACAGAUUUCAUUUGGAGUCAGGUGUGCUGUGUGCCUCUCAGACCAGAACCUUAC
Long non-coding RNA from Pogoniulus pusillus (Red-fronted tinkerbird), 385 nucleotides. RefSeq lists it as uncharacterized. The record is from RefSeq and is a predicted model, not a curated record. The transcript is spliced from 2 exons. NCBI's taxonomy places the organism in Eukaryota, Metazoa, Chordata, Aves, Piciformes, Lybiidae.